Molecule: long non-coding RNA, 426 nt
Organism: Dendronephthya gigantea
Lineage: Eukaryota; Metazoa; Cnidaria; Anthozoa; Malacalcyonacea; Nephtheidae
Exons: 3
Source: RefSeq, a predicted model, not a curated record
ACUGGUAAUAAACUUGGGGAAGUAGGAAGUUCCAAACCAUCAUCAAUUUCUUUCCCAAAGAUGUCGCCAGUGAAAAUACAACCUAUAGAUCCAUAUCAGUUUUGUGAACCAAUUUUAAAAUACUGCACAAAGAGUAAUAUGGUACAGAAGGAUCAGUUUUUUAACAGAACAGAAUAUGACAAGAGGAGAGUGAAUAAAGAAGUACUCACUCUGAUCAAAAGAACAGCAGAGGCAAUCAAAAUUAUCCGGUCGCAACAUGAAGAAUGGAAGAAAAACCAGCAAUAAAGGGGAUCCAGGUUACGUACCGUGUGGAAAAAAAGCAAAAAUUGUGUUCAACUUGUUGUCAGGCAGCUUGUAAAUGUAAUGGGAAAGAGAGUUGAUUAAAUUCAAUUCAAUUUAAAUUAAAUUAUUUAAUAAAAUGUUAAU